GAUGAAGAACGUAGCGAAAUGCGAUAAGUAAUGCGAAUUGCAGAAUUUCCGUGAGUCAUCGAAUCUUUGAACGCACAUUGCGCCCCUUGGUAUUCCGAGGGGCAUGCCUGUUCGAGCGUCAUUAUAACCCCUCAAGCUCAGCUUGGUAUUGGGGCCUGCCAUCCUGGCAGCCCUUAAAAUCAGUGGCGGUGCCAUCCGGCUCUAAGCGUAGUAACUCUUCUCGCUAUGGAGUCCUGGUGGAUGCUUGCCAUUAAUCUUUUAACUUCUAUGGUUGACCUCGGAUCAGGUAGGGAUACCCGCUGAACUUAAGCAUAUCAAUAAGCGGAGGA
Molecule: unclassified non-coding RNA, 329 nt
Filed under: soil metagenome
Description: partial contains 5.8S ribosomal RNA, internal transcribed spacer 2, and large subunit ribosomal RNA
Rfam family: 5.8S ribosomal RNA (bases 1-121)
Source: RNAcentral